UUCCAGACUCCUACGGGAGGCAGCAGUGGGGAAUAUUGCACAAUGGGGGAAACCCUGAUGCAGCGACGCCGCGUGAGUGAAGAAGCGUUUCGGCGCGUAAAGCUCUGUCAGCGGGGAAGAAACACGGUUCGCGAGAGCCGCGGACGGUACCCGACCAAGAAGCCCCGGCUAACUACGUGCCAGCAGCCGCGGUAAUACGUAGGGGGCAAGCGUUAUCCGGAUUCACUGGGUGUAAAGGGGGCGCAGACGGCGAUGCAAGCCAGGAGUGAAAGCCCGGGGCCCAACCCCGGGACUGCUCUUGGAACUGCGUGGCUGGAGUGCAGGAGGGGCAGGCGGAAUUCCUGGUGUAGCGGUGAAAUGCGUAGAUAUCAGGAGGAACACCGGUGGCGAAGGCGGCCUGCUGGACUGCAACUGACGUUGAGGCCCGAAAGCGUGGGGAGCAAACAGGAUUAGAUACCCUUGUA
This 464-nucleotide ribosomal RNA is filed under the name uncultured bacterium. Its description in RNAcentral is "partial 16S ribosomal RNA". It matches the Rfam family "Bacterial small subunit ribosomal RNA", at positions 329 to 792 of the family's 1533-position model. The record is from RNAcentral.